CAACAUCAGCAGCAGCAGCAGCAGCAGCAGCAGCAGCAGCUGAGCCAGAGGCAGCAACAGCAUCAUUCAGUUUCAGUCGCAAUUCAAACGCCAUCAAAAUCAAAACGUCUUAGCAAACCAAGCUUAAAAGCAUAAAAAUCUUGUACUCAUUGCAUAAAAAGAAUUAAACAAAAAAAAAAAA
Molecule: non-coding RNA, 181 nt
Organism: Drosophila virilis
Lineage: Eukaryota; Metazoa; Arthropoda; Insecta; Diptera; Drosophilidae
Source: RefSeq, a predicted model, not a curated record